AGAGCCGCCGCCCCAAGCCACCCUCCCCUGGUUCCCGUCCCUCUGUCCCCUCCCCAGCUCCCCCCACACAGUAAGAAGCUCCCAAGUGAGCGGCUCCGGUGCCGGGCGGGACGUGGGAGGGAGGCUGUGUCCCCGCGGGGAGGCAGGGCGACGGCGUCCAGGAGAGAGGGGAGCGGGGCGGUGUCCCAGGCACCCUGCGCCUCUCCCGCCCGCAAUGUGCGGGUUCCCGGAGCCCAGGCCCGCACCCCGGGUACUUGAAGGCCGCCGGGCUCCGCCUUCACCACGUGGGCCCUGAGUUCCUCCGCGGCGCCUUCGUGGGCGACACGCGAUUCCUGAGCUUCCACAGCCGCGGCGAGAAUCAGAGCGUGAAGCGCGGGUGGAGAAGAUGGCACAGGGCUGUGGGCGCCCUGAGGAAAGUUCUCGAAGACCGCAGGGAAUGUGUUACUGAGGGGCCUGAGGUUCCUGGGCCCGCACCACCACCAGGGUCAGCCGGUGAGUGACCUCAGACUCCGGGCACAGGUGUGCCCCGCCCCGACCCCAGAGUGACCAGCCCGGUUCUCCCAGGGAUGGGGGGGCGGGGCCUCAGCUGAUCCCUCUCAGGUGGGGAAGCGCUGGGGCCAUUUUGCUCCAGGUUUCUCCUUCAAUCUGGAUCAUGACUGACUUGUUCUGUGACCAAUGACAGAGGGAGGAAGGAGCUGGGGUGGGCGGGGCGACCUCCCUCCCCUCCCUGGCCCCGCCUCCGGCUCACCCUGGGGCAGGUCCAGGGCACCGCACCUGCAGAUGCUGCUGUCUGGCUGGGUGGUGGCUCCGGACAGGAGCUUCCUCGAAGGACACUUUAAGUCCGCCUACGACAAGGAGAUUUCAUGUCCCUGAACGAGGACCUGCAGACCUGGACAGCGGCUCAAAGAGCGGCUUGGAGGAUCCAUCACACCUGGGAGAGGUUCUGGACCGCGGAGGCCACAAGGGAAGCCCCGAUGGGUCACUGCACUAGGUGGCUGCUCAGACACCUGGAGGAUGGCAAGGAGAUGAUGCUGCCGGCAGAAGAUAAAACACCAGGAAACGGAAUCGGCAGAGACACAGUAGAUGAAAGUACCACGAAGGACUGCUAGGUUCUAAUAGAAAGUAGCAGAUAGCCCCGUGGAGAUUCCUGCUGUGCAGCAAAGCCUGGGAGGGGCCCCUGGCUGUGGAAGGCAGGCUGAGACGUCAUAGGAACUUCCUUCUCUGGGAUCCCAAACUCCUAGACCAGCUGAGUACGUUGAGGGGAUGGGAAGCACCAACACCCCACGCAGGUUACCGGAAGUGCUGGUGAGUAUAGUCAUUCCUUCUUCCAGCACUGGUGGUUAGAGACUUACUCUACCUGUUGGAGACUUGGCACCAUAUAACAGCUGCUGGCGUAACCUUAGUGUAUGCUUCAUCCUGAAGGACAUUACCCAUCCUGAUAGGAUGUGAUCUUCAAGAUAAAACCCAGCUGCACCCUCAAGAGACCAUUCCACUGCUCUAUCAGCUCGCAGAGUGUGUGAUGCAGUAUGGGGUAGAACCAGGAGA
Molecule: long non-coding RNA, 1545 nt
Organism: Homo sapiens (human)
Lineage: Eukaryota; Metazoa; Chordata; Mammalia; Primates; Hominidae
Exons: 4
Source: RefSeq, a predicted model, not a curated record